UUUAAGUUUCUUGAUUUUCUCAAAAAUGUUACAUGUCCAAUGCUGUUUCUUUGAUGUCUUUACUCUUCUAAAAACUGAGUCAGAAAUCCAUCACACUUCUCAAAAAAGAGUCAGAAGUCUAUGUGUGUUUUAGACACACCUUUUAAGCUUAUAAUAAUGUCUAGAUUCUGCUGCUUUAGAUAUUUGAGGUUUUCAGGUGUCUUUAUUCUUUUGAACUAACUAAAAUUCUUUGAUGGAUUUGUGAAUUCUUCCAUGUAUGGAAUUUUUCUAUUUAAAAACACUAGGGACAGAAGCAAAUCUAGAAUUUUAAGUAAGUUGCUAUUGUUUGACGAUUGAGGUAGAACUUAACAUAAAUAUAUGUCUUUAAAGAUACUUAUGUAUAUAUGGUUCAGGGUCGAUAACGACAACUAUGAUAUGUAUAGAUAGAUAUGAUACUACUGAUUCCUUUAUCUCUUAAUUGUUUCCAUUUUUUGAUUAGCCCGCCCUAUUAAUUGUUUCCAUUUUUUGUCUUAGAUUUUCAUUCAGUAGGAUUUGGAGGGGUGGUGGGGCUCAGGGCACAUGAUGCCCAUAUAAGUAUAAGGGAUGCAGCUUUGUUACAAGAUUAUCCAUGGUUGUUGGGUUUUUUUUUUAUCUCUUAACUAAUUGAAUAACAAUCAAUAUACCUUUUGUUGAAAGAAAUAGAAAUCUUUAUAUGGUUCUUUGAAUCUUUAUCUUAUUCUUCAAUUUUUACUACUACCUGUUACUUUAUUUGCUUCAUUUAGCUUGCUUUUUCGCUGUCGUUAUUUUCUGAGUACCACAAAGUUUUCGUGUAUAUUUUGACGGUUAUUUGUCAAAUUAGUUGGGGUUACUCUCAUAUCAAUAUUUAUCUAGUUAGACGUUCAAUGCAAUUUCGAUGAACACUACUAACCUUGUGCAUCAAGGUGGGACUUAUUGUGCAUGACAUCUCUCUCUAUCAAUAUACAUACUUGUAUUUGGAUGUAUGGCUCAUGAAUACAUCGGGUAUGGACUUUUGAGACCUUCCUUCUGGGGAAUGUCUCAAACCAUUUUUUUUUUUUUUGGUAGUUAGUGUUAUGUACGAAAAGAUGAAAUUUUUUGGCGUCAGUGUUAAGCGAAUAUAAGCAUGUUCAGCAAUUCAUUUUGUUGUACCAACAGGUUGCUUCUAUUGGAGAAAAUCGAGCUUCUUUGUUAGUGAUUUGACUACAAAACCAGAUAUUUGGCCCCUUGAGCUAUUAAAAACUUUUUGAUAUUAUCCUCUCGGAGAAAAUUCGACCUUUUUCUCCCAUGAUCUUCAACAACAACCUCAUAGUCUUUUGAGUUACUUCCUACCUGCAUUUUUUAUGUGUCGGGGUAGAUAAAAUCCGGGGUUCUUGCACCUCGUGUGUUACUGCCUAGCUAAAAUACCAUUCUGAGAACUUCAUAUUUUUAGAAUAGAUAUGUCAUGUUUUCAGAUAUUCACUUUUUCUUUUCAAUUUAGUGAAAUUGAAAGAUAUCUCGGGACUUCUAAAAUCAACGCAAGUCGUGUGCAAUUAGGCCUUUAACAGUUUCAAGAUUGUACAUUUCUCAGCUUCUCGAACAUCUUAGUUUUUGAACCUUCUGUAUUGCUCCUAGAUUCUGGAAGAUCUUAACCUACCUAGUUGAAUUUAUUUGCUUUAGUGAAGCACACGUCUAUCAUUUUCCAUAUUUUAACUUGCUAUCUGUACAUUCAUUCACUGGAACUUUAUGACACUUGACAGCCUAUGCAAUAAGUGCUACUUUUAUUAUGAGCUUGAGUAGUCUAAAUUGGUGUGUCUGACAGGUAAACAUGGAAACAUAAUAUGUUUCGAUGAUGACACUCAACUCUUCUUGUACCAAUUGGUCGGUACUUGUGGGAAACUUCUGUUUCCAAGACCUUGGAAAGAAUUCCGUAUGUGGUAUAAUGAACACAAGGCCAAGGACAUAAAGCCAUUUCUUGAUCGGUGAUAAUGUACCUGCUAGCCACUCUUUUCAUCUUUGCAGCAUAGAAGUUUUUCCUGGUGAAUCAUACAAAGUUCGGAUCAACUGGGCACUGUUCUCCGG
Molecule: long non-coding RNA, 2055 nt
Organism: Lycium barbarum (goji berry)
Lineage: Eukaryota; Viridiplantae; Streptophyta; Magnoliopsida; Solanales; Solanaceae
Exons: 2
Source: RefSeq, a predicted model, not a curated record